RNAcentral lists this transfer RNA (73 nucleotides) under Zootermopsis nevadensis. It matches the Rfam family "tRNA". From Rfam's summary of the family: Transfer RNA (tRNA) molecules are approximately 80 nucleotides in length. Their secondary structure includes four short double-helical elements and three loops (D, anti-codon, and T loops). Further hydrogen bonds mediate the characteristic L-shaped molecular structure. tRNAs have two regions of fundamental functional importance: the anti-codon, which is responsible for specific mRNA codon recognition, and the 3' end, to which the tRNAs corresponding amino acid is attached (by aminoacyl-tRNA synthetases). tRNAs cope with the degeneracy of the genetic code in two manners: having more than one tRNA (with a specific anti-codon) for a particular amino acid; and 'wobble' base-pairing, i.e. permitting non-standard base-pairing at the 3rd anti-codon position. Lineage: Eukaryota; Metazoa; Arthropoda; Insecta; Blattodea; Termopsidae. The record is from Rfam by way of RNAcentral.
GGUACGGUGGUCUAGCGGUUAGAACGCUGGCCUUGUAAUCCUGGGGUCUCGGGUUCGAUUCCCGGCGGUGCCC